This 253-nucleotide ribosomal RNA is filed under the name uncultured bacterium. Its description in RNAcentral is "partial 16S ribosomal RNA". It matches the Rfam family "Bacterial small subunit ribosomal RNA", at positions 524 to 776 of the family's 1533-position model. The record is from RNAcentral.
UACGUAUGGUGCAAGCGUUAUCCGGAUUUACUGGGUGUAAAGAGAGCGCAGGCGGCGCGUUAAGCCUGGUGUGAAAGCCCGCGUCCCAACCGCGGGACUGCAUUGGGAACUGGCGCGCAGGAGUGCCGGAGGGGUAGGCGGAAUUCCUAGUGUAGCGGUGAAAUGCGUAGAUAUUAGGAGGAACACCAGUGGCGAAGGCGGCCUGCUGGACUGCAACUGACGUUGAGGCCCGAAAGCGUGGGGAGCAAACAGG